Molecule: ribosomal RNA, 497 nt
Filed under: uncultured bacterium
Lineage: Bacteria
Description: partial 16S ribosomal RNA
Rfam family: Bacterial small subunit ribosomal RNA
Source: RNAcentral
GACGAACGCUGGCGGCGUGCCUAAUACAUGCAAGUUGAGCGAUGAAGAUUGGUGCUUGCACCAAUUUGAAGAGCAGCGAACGGGUGAGUAACGCGUGGGGAAUCUGCCUUUGAGCGGGGGACAACAUUUGGAAACGAAUGCUAAUACCGCAUAAUAACUUUAAACAUAAGUUUUAAGUUUGAAAGAUGCAAUUGCAUCACUCAAAGAUGAUCCCGCGUUGUAUUAGCUAGUUGGUGAGGUAAAGGCUCACCAAGGCGAUGAUACAUAGCCGACCUGAGAGGGUGAUCGGCCACAUUGGGACUGAGACACGGCCCAAACUCCUACGGGAGGCAGCAGUAGGGAAUCUUCGGCAAUGGACGAAAGUCUGACCGAGCAACGCCGCGUGAGUGGAGAAGGUUUUCGGAUCGUAAAACUCUGUUGGUAGAGAAGAACGUUGGUGAGAGUGGAAAGCUCAUCAAGUGACGGUAACUACCCAGAAAGGGACGGCUAACUACGUG